ACGGGUGAGUAACGCGUAAUCAACCUGCCCUUCAGAGGGGGAUAACAACGGGAAACCGUUGCUAAUACCGCGUACGAUUCAUAGGCGGCAUCGCUUGUGAAUGAAAGGUGGCCUCUAUGUAUAAGCUAUCGCUGAAGGAGGGGAUUGCGUCUGAUUAGCUAGUUGGAGGGGUAACGGCCCACCAAGGCAAUGAUCAGUAGCCGGUCUGAGAGGAUGAACGGCCACAUUGGGACUGAGACACGGCCCAAACUCCUACGGGAGGCAGCAGUGGGGAAUCUUCCGCAAUGGACGAAAGUCUGACGGAGCAACGCCGCGUGAGUGAUGAAGGUCUUCGGAUUGUAAAGCUCUGUUAAUCGGGACGAAAGAGUUCUGUGUGAAUAAUGCAGAAAAGUGACGGUACCGGAAUAGAAAGCCACGGCUAACUACGUGCCAGCAGCCGCGGUAAUACGUAGGUGGCAAGCGUUGUCCGGAAUUAUUGGGCGUAAAGCGCGCGCAGGCGGCCUAUCCAGUCUGUCUUAAAAGUUCGGGGCUCAACCCCGUGAUGGGAUGGAAACUAGUAGGCUAGAGUAUCGGAGAGGAAAGCGGAAUUCCUAGUGUAGCGGUGAAAUGCGUAGAUAUUAGGAAGAACACCAGUGGCGAGGGCGGCUUUCUGGACGAAAACUGACGCUGAGGCGCGAAAGCCAGGGGAGCGAACGGGAUUAGAU
This 704-nucleotide ribosomal RNA is filed under the name uncultured bacterium. RNAcentral's name for it is "bacterial SSU rRNA". It matches the Rfam family "Bacterial small subunit ribosomal RNA", at positions 102 to 783 of the family's 1533-position model. The record is from RNAcentral.